This 497-nucleotide ribosomal RNA is filed under the name uncultured bacterium. RNAcentral's name for it is "partial 16S ribosomal RNA". It matches the Rfam family "Bacterial small subunit ribosomal RNA", at positions 28 to 507 of the family's 1533-position model. The record is from RNAcentral.
GAUGAACGCUGGCGGCGUGCCUAAUACAUGCAAGUCGAGCGAACGGACGAGAAGCUUGCUUCUCUGAUGUUAGCGGCGGACGGGUGAGUAACACGUGGAUAACCUACCUAUAAGACUUGGAUAACUUCGGGAAACCGGAGCUAAUACCGGAUGAUAUUUUGAACCGCAUGGUUCAAAAGUGAAAGACGGUCUUGCUGUCACUUAUAGAUGGAUCCGCGCUGCAUUAGCUAGUUGGUAAGGUAACGGCUUACCAAGGCAACGAUGCAUAGCCGACCUGAGAGGGUGAUCAGCCACACUGGAACUGAGACACGGUCCAGACUCCUACGGGAGGCAGCAGUAGGGAAUCUUCCGCAAUGGGCGAAAGCCUGACGGAGCAACGCCGCGUGAGUGAUGAAGGUCUUCGGAUCGUAAAACUCUGUUAUUAGGGAAGAACAUAUGUGUAAGUAACUGUGCACAUCUUGACGGUACCUAAUCAGAAAGCCACGGCUAACUACGUG